UACCAAGGCAACCCACAUUUUUGCUAGCUUUUGGAUUCUUUGCAAAAAGAUUGCAAAGCAACUUUCAAGGUCAGGGAAAUGGGGAGAGAGCACACAGGACCAGGUAAAGUGGCGGCUUAUUCUCCUGGAUUAUCAUAAAAGGGUGGUCUGCAAUAUUUUUACUGUGGCAGGACUCAGAAACUGAGAUCCCAGCGUGGCAUGGGCUAAGAGGAAAAAGAACAGCUGCGCACACCAAUAAAUUCAAAAUAGGCAUGGUAGCUAUGCUGAAAGGGACAAGGUUCUGCAACCAUGCUGUCUGGCUCAGCAUUCCCCUCAGAUCAGAAAACUGAAAUCCUGCUGGGGACAGAGACCAUUUCUUUAAUGAUGCAGUUCUGGCUAAGAAGGAGACAGAACAAUGUCUUCAGGGAGAUGUGAUGGCUUCCUGAUUUGUUGUUUUAAUUGGGUGAAAGAAAAAAAAUGGAAUUAUUAAUCUGGAAUUCAGCAUGCUUGAAACAGAGCAUUUCUGGGCUGGGAUGUUCUUGAGAGAGUACUUCUGGAUACCUAGAAGGUUUUCAUGGCAUUCAUCUGGAAUUUGCCUUUCCUCCUUUAAUCAUAUCCUCUUAGGGUGAUUUUCACAGAACUGCAUAAGGAAUUCCUAUAGCAGAG
Long non-coding RNA from Passer domesticus (house sparrow), 645 nucleotides. RefSeq lists it as uncharacterized. The transcript has 3 exons. The record is from RefSeq and is a predicted model, not a curated record. NCBI's taxonomy places the organism in Eukaryota, Metazoa, Chordata, Aves, Passeriformes, Passeridae.